AACAAGGCUGUUCCCUUGCCCUCACAUGUACAUAGUUCCAUCUGUAAUAAUGUUGUUACAACAGACAUGAAUUACAUUUGGCGUUUAAGACUUGCCCAUACUUCAUUUACAAAUAUGAGACAUAUUCUGGUUUGUCUUUUCCAUUUGCUUCUAAACAACCUUUCCUCUAUUUGUCUGUCCUAUGGCAAGACAGACUAGGCUCCCCUUUCCUGAUAGUUCUAUUAACACCUCUAG
Molecule: long non-coding RNA, 234 nt
Filed under: Nicotiana benthamiana
Lineage: Eukaryota; Viridiplantae; Streptophyta; Magnoliopsida; Solanales; Solanaceae
Description: long non-coding RNA (NBEN_LNC000979)
Source: RNAcentral